GAGACGCUGGCGGCAUGCCUAAUACAUGCAAGUCGAACGCGGCCAUCCGGUGCUUGCACUGGUGAAGCCGAGUGGCGAACGGGUGAGUAACACGUGAGAAACCUGCCCUGGAGUGGGGAAUAACUCGAAGAAAUUCGAGCUAAUACCGCAUACCUUCUCUUCACCGCAUGGUGAGUUGAAGAAAGAUUUAUCGCUCUAGGAGGGUCUCGCGGCCUAUCAGCUAGUUGGUGAGGUAAUGGCUCACCAAGGCAUCGACGGGUAGCUGGUCUGAGAGGACGAUCAGCCACACUGGGACUGAGACACGGCCCAGACUCCUACGGGAGGCAGCAGUAGGGAAUCUUGCGCAAUGGGCGAAAGCCUGACGCAGCAAUGCCGCGUGCGGGACGAAGGCCCUAGGGUCGUAAACCGCUUUCAGUAGGGACGAAAAUGACGGUACCUGCAGAAGAAGCUCCGGCCAACUACGUG
RNAcentral lists this ribosomal RNA (465 nucleotides) under uncultured bacterium. Its description in RNAcentral is "bacterial SSU rRNA". It matches the Rfam family "Bacterial small subunit ribosomal RNA", at positions 33 to 507 of the family's 1533-position model. The record is from RNAcentral.